UCUCUGCCUCAGUAAUGUACCUGUGUCUUUUACUUUCACUAAGUAUUAAUGUGAGGUAUUUCCUGGGGUGCAAGUCCCCAGUUGGUGUUGUCAGUAAUUUCAGUCCUCCCCUUUGUGUCCCUGGCCACACCAGUUUACUCCACUGUAUAUAAGUCUCCUUGUUUCCCUGUCAGUCAGUUUGUCUGUUCUGUGUCCAUCUGUAGUUAAGGCUGAGUCUGUAUCUGUGUACACGUUUGUUCCUGAGCUCGACUCUUCACCUGAGGUCCUGCCCGUGUGUGUGUGCUCCUGGUUUUGUCUCCUGUGUCUGAGCUUCCUGUUUCCAUUUGGACUUUCCUCUGCCUGCUUCACCCACCCCCAGGGUGGAUGUUUGGAACUAUUGUUGGACUGACUGAACUCUGUUCUGGACUAUUGUUGGUCUUUGGACUCUUUGGCAUGAUCAGCCUGUGGGUGCUGCAUUCCAUGUGAAGGAUCUCUGUGCAGGUUUUUAACAUCCUGUGGUUCACCUGCACUACUGCUGUUUUUGCCCCCAUGACUGUUUGCUGUGAGGUUGCUGUGACUUUGGUUUUUUGCUGCACCAAAGUUAAGGCUGAGUCUGUAUCUGUGUACACGUUUGUUCCUGAGCUCGACUCUUCACCUGAGGUCCUGCCCGUGUGUGUGUGCUCCUGGUUUUGUCUCCUGUGUCUGAGCUUCCUGUUUCCAUUUGGACUUUCCUCUGCCUGCUUCACCCAGUAAGAUUCCCUGAGUUUGUUUU
Toxotes jaculatrix (banded archerfish) is the source of this 751-nucleotide long non-coding RNA. RefSeq lists it as uncharacterized. Lineage: Eukaryota; Metazoa; Chordata; Actinopteri; Toxotidae. The record is from RefSeq and is a predicted model, not a curated record. The transcript is spliced from 5 exons.